ACCAUUUAGCAUCUUAAUUUUAUAAGAAGAUCACCUCUUUCAAGAUGAAGCUCUCUGCGUUCUUUGCUAUAUUUAUGCACAAACCAUAAGAAAAUAAGUUUCUUUACGAUGAAGUUCCCAGUGUUGUGCACUAUAUUGUAUCUGUAUGUAGUCUACAUAGGACGGAGUGAGGCGCGGAGUCACUGGCCACCAAAUAACUGGACACCACCCGAAGGUUAUGGGGAUUUUCGAACAUAUACAUUUCCAGCAUGGAUCGAAAAACUUGGGCGUACAACAAAGAAAACGAAUCAAUGAAAGAAAGCACACAAACUUUUAAAAUAUGAAAUAAAGUUUUUAUAAAACAAUUUUACCUACUUUGAGAUUUUGUAUAACUUGAAAAUAUUAUUUUCUAAUGAUUUUCGGACUGUAUCCUACAGCUGCCAUAUAACUGUACGCUCGAAAAUGAUGACCCCAUAACGAUGAAAUAAUGACCCCAUAAAAAGUUGGAAUUUCCUACAGAUUAUAUUUUUGGUCAAUAAAUUCGAUCUUCCAAACAUCAUCAGAAUUAGCCGACCAAUAUUAUAGCUGCUAUAUCGAAAA
This is a long non-coding RNA of Drosophila bipectinata, 579 nucleotides long. RefSeq lists it as uncharacterized. NCBI's taxonomy places the organism in Eukaryota, Metazoa, Arthropoda, Insecta, Diptera, Drosophilidae. The record is from RefSeq and is a predicted model, not a curated record.